AGUCAAUAGAUACCCAGGUAGUCCUGGCAGUAAACGGUGCGCGUUUGGUGUGGGAGGAAUCGACCCCUUCCGUGCCGGAGCUAAACGCGUUAAACGCGCCGCCUGGGGAGUACGGUCGCAAGAUUAAAACUCAAAGAAAUUGACGGGGGCCCGCACAAGCGGUGGAGUAUGUGGCUUAAUUCGAUGCAACGCGAAGAACCUUACCUGGGCUUGACAUGCAUUUCUAAGUCGGUGAAAGCCGGCGAGUGUAGCAAUACACGACUUGCACAGGUGCUGCAUGGCUGUCGUCAGCUCGUGUCGUGAGAUGUUGGGUUAAGUCCCGCAACGAGCGCAACCCUUGUGGCCUGUUGCCAACCAGUCUUUGACUGGUGCACUCUGGCCAGACUGCCCUGUGAAACGGGGAGGAAGGUGAGGAUGACGUCAAGUCAGCAUGGCCCUUACGCCCAGGGCUGCACACGUACUACAAUGCUCAGUACAGAACGAGCCGAAACCGCGAGGUGGAGGAAAUCACCAAAACUGAGCCCAAUUC
This 529-nucleotide ribosomal RNA is filed under the name uncultured bacterium. RNAcentral's name for it is "bacterial SSU rRNA". It matches the Rfam family "Bacterial small subunit ribosomal RNA", at positions 775 to 1294 of the family's 1533-position model. The record is from RNAcentral.